AGAGGUGUAACUCAGUUGAGGAGAGUAUAUCCCUUACAAGGAUAAAGUUGCAGGCUCAAGUCCUGUCACCUCUACCA
Molecule: transfer RNA, 77 nt
Filed under: Alkaliphilus sp. B6464
Lineage: Bacteria; Bacillati; Bacillota; Clostridia; Peptostreptococcales; Natronincolaceae
Description: tRNA-Val
Rfam family: tRNA
About the family: Transfer RNA (tRNA) molecules are approximately 80 nucleotides in length. Their secondary structure includes four short double-helical elements and three loops (D, anti-codon, and T loops).
Source: RNAcentral